Drosophila rhopaloa is the source of this 7975-nucleotide RNA transcript. It is a transcript of the gene named protein retinal degeneration B, with no coding region annotated. The transcript is spliced from 14 exons. Lineage: Eukaryota; Metazoa; Arthropoda; Insecta; Diptera; Drosophilidae. The record is from RefSeq and is a predicted model, not a curated record.
UUCAGUUCAGAAUCGAACUCGAGCAGAGUCGCAACAUCGUUGCCGCGAAGCGCGUGCUGUUUUUCAGUGUGUACGUUUUGAUUGCAAAAAAAUAUAAGCAAAAGAGGAAGGCAAGCAAGAACGCUGAAAAAACAUUUUGUAUCUGCGGCCUGGAAAAGCGCCCGAAGAAAAUGAAUAGAUAAAUUGUGUUAAUCGCCCCAUCGAGCCAGCAAAUAUUUACUGUAUAUUUAUAUUUUGUUGUUGUGCUUUUUUUUUUGCGUUUGAGCAUUAUUUAUUUGUUGUUAAUUGUGCAGCUGCCCGCCUGCGAAUGAUAAAAAUGUCAUAGACGACGAGUUCCCCCCGUCAAGAGCGUCGGACGACAGCGUCGCCUCCAUCAUCAUCCAGCCAUGACCAGCGGCAAUCGAUGAUUGCCAUUCCCUGAGCCAACGAGAGCCAAUAAAGGCAGCCGGAAAGGAGGACGGAUCCGUCGGAAGAGGCACUCUGCGGCCCGCCAUUCAAACAUACAUCAAUAGCCGGAGGGGAUACCCCCGGAUUGAAAGAUUGAAAGGACUAAAGUCACGCGGUCAUCAUGCUGAUCAAGGAGUACCGCAUUCCGCUGCCCCUCACCGUUGAGGAGUACCGCAUCGCCCAGCUCUACAUGAUUGCGAAAAAGAGUCGCGAGGAGAGUCAUGGCGAGGGCAGUGGCGUCGAAAUAAUCAUAAAUGAGCCAUAUAAGGACGGACCUGGCGGAAAUGGGCAGUACACGAAGAAGAUCUACCAUGUGGGCAAUCAUCUGCCAGGCUGGAUCAAGAGUCUCUUGCCCAAGAGCGCAUUAACCGUGGAGGAGGAGGCGUGGAAUGCCUAUCCUUAUACCAGGACCCGCUACACCUGCCCAUUUGUGGAGAAGUUCUCGCUGGACAUUGAGACGUACUAUUUUCCGGAUAAUGGCUAUCAGGAUAAUGUGUUUCAGUUGUCCGGAAGUGAUCUGCGUAACCGCAUUGUGGAUGUGAUCGACAUUGUGAAGGAUCAGCUGUGGGGCGGCGACUAUGUGAAGGAGGAGGAUCCCAAGCACUUUGUGUCGGACAAGACGGGACGCGGUCCCCUCGGCGAGGAUUGGCUGGAGGAGUAUUGGCGCGAGGUGAAGGGCAAGAAGCAGCCGACGCCCCGCAACAUGUCCUUGAUGACCGCCUACAAGAUCUGCCGCGUGGAGUUCCGCUACUGGGGCAUGCAGACGAAGCUGGAGAAGUUCAUUCACGAUGUGGCGCUGCGCAAGAUGAUGCUGCGCGCCCAUCGGCAGGCGUGGGCGUGGCAGGACGAGUGGCACGGCCUAACUAUCGAGGAUAUCCGCGAGCUGGAGCGUCAGACGCAGCUGGCCCUGGCCAAAAAGAUGGGCGGCGGCGAGGAGUGCAGCGAUGACAGCACCUCGGAGCCGUAUGUAAGCACGGCGGUCACCGCCGCCUCCACGGCGGGCAGCGAGCGGAAGAAGUCCGCUCCUGCCGUACCGCCUAUCGUCACCCAGCAGCCGCCAAGUGCCGAGGCCAGUUCGGAUGAGGAGGGCGAUGAGGAGGAGGAGGAGGACGACGAGGAUGAGAACGAUGCCAUUGGCACGGGCGUGGAUCUGUCCGCCAACCAAGGCGGCUCCGCCCAAAGGUCGCGCUCCCAGAGCAUCCAGAUGGCCCAGAAGGCCAAGUUUGGGUCCAAGGGUGCCCUCCAUUCGCCGGUGGGCUCGGCACACAGCUUCGAUCUUCAGUCCAAAAAGCCGCAUGCAAAGGCAGCGCCACGCAGACAUGUGGCAAACUGGCGAAUGGAGCGGUUGGAAGUGGACUCCAAGUCCAACUCGGACGAAGAAUUCUUCGAUUGUUUGGACACCAAUGAAACGAACUCACUGGCCAAGUGGAGCUCCCUGGAGCUGUUGGGCGAGGGCGACGACAGUCCACCGCCACAUGGUGGACCCUCGAGCGCCGCAUCCGUGGGCGGACGUGGCCACUCCCGGCAGGAGGAUAGUAUCUUCAACCAGGACUUCUUGAUGCGCGUCGCCUCGGAGCGUGGGAAUAAGCGACAGUUGCGCUCAUCGGCCAGUGUGGAUCGCAGCCACGACUCGUCGCCGCCGGGUUCGCCGAGCACACCAUCCUGCCCGACCACCAUUCUCAUCCUGGUUGUCCAUGCGGGCAGUGUUUUGGAUGCAGCGAGCGAGCUGACGGCAAAGAAAUCCGAUGUCACCACAUUCCGCGGCUCCUUUGAGGCGGUGAUGCGUCAGCACUAUCCCAGCCUCCUCACCCAUGUGACCAUCAAGAUGGUGCCGUGCCCCUCGAUUUGCACCGACGCCCUGGGCAUCCUCUCCAGCCUCAGUCCGUACUCCUUUGAUGCCUCACCUUCGGCGGCGGAUAUACCAAAUAUAGCCGAUGUACCCAUAGGGGCUAUACCCCUCCUGUCCGUCGCAUCGCCGGAAUUCCAUGAGACGGUGAACAAGACGGUGGCCGCCGCUAAUAUUGUCUAUCAUGAGUUCUUGAAAUCGGAGGAGGGACACGGCUUCUCCGGACAGAUUGUGAUGCUGGGCGAUUCGAUGGGCUCGUUGCUGGCCUACGAGGCACUGUGCCGUUCGAAUGGCAGCCAACCGGGCACCGCCUCGGGUGCCUCGAAUUCUGGCGGAGAUUGCGGCACCGCCGCGACCAAUAUUAAUACCCACAAUCCGCUGGGCGCCCGCCAUUCCCGCUUGGACGAUGACGAGCGUUUCAUUGAGGCCGACUUGGAUGCCAAGCGACUGCUGGUGGCUCCAUCGCCACGGAGACGCCGUUCCAGCUCCUCGAGCGAUUCGCGGGCCACCAAGCUGGACUUUGAGGUGUGCGACUUCUUCAUGUUCGGAUCACCGCUGUCCGUGGUCCUGGCCGCACGGAAACUCCACGAUGCCAAGGCCGCCCUGGCCAGGCCCAACUGCCAUCAGGUGUACAAUCUGUUCCAUCCAACCGAUCCGAUCGCCUCGCGUCUGGAGCCGCUCCUCAGUGCCCGGUUCUCCAUUCUGGCGCCGGUUAAUGUCCCUCGGUACGCCAAGUAUCCGCUGGGAAAUGGUCAGCCAUUGCAUUUAUUGGAGGUGAUUCAGUCGCAUCCGCAGCACUUUAACGAUGGCAAUAACUUGUUGGCCGGCCGAAGAUUGUCGGAUGCCUCGAUGCAGAGCACGAUAUCGGGUCUGAUUGAGAAUGUCUCGCUUAGUACGAUCCAUGCCCUUCAGAACAAAUGGUGGGGCACGAAGCGCCUGGAUUACGCCCUUUAUUGCCCGGAGGGAUUGAGCAACUUUCCGGCUCACGCCUUGCCGCACCUAUUCCAUGCCAGCUACUGGGAGAGUCCGGAUGUGAUUGCCUUCAUCCUGCGGCAGAUUGGCAAAUUCGAGGGCAUACCCUUUGUGGGUUCCAACGAUGACAAGGACAAUGCCUCCUUCCAUCCGGGACAGCCGCGUGAGAAGUGGAUCAAGAAGCGCACCUCGGUGAAGCUUAAAAAUGUCGCCGCCAAUCAUCGGGCCAACGAUGUGAUCGUCCAGGAGGGCAGGGAGCAGCGUCUGAAUGCCCGAUUCAUGUACGGACCCCUGGACAUGAUCACGCUGCACGGCGAGAAGGUGGAUGUGCACAUUAUGAAGGAUCCGCCGGCGGGUGAAUGGACAUUCCUCAGCACCGAGGUGACGGACAAGAACGGUCGCAUCUCGUACAGCAUUCCCGAUCAGGUCUCACUCGGCUAUGGCAUCUAUCCCGUGAAGAUGGUGGUUCGUGGCGAUCACACCUCGGUGGAUUGCUAUAUGGCAGUGGUGCCGCCAUUGACCGAAUGCGUCGUCUUCAGCAUUGAUGGCUCCUUCACCGCAUCGAUGUCGGUGACGGGUCGGGAUCCAAAGGUGCGUGCCGGUGCGGUCGAUGUCUGCCGGCAUUGGCAGGAGCUGGGCUACCUGCUCAUCUACAUCACCGGACGACCCGAUAUGCAGCAGCAGCGGGUGGUGUCCUGGCUGAGCCAGCACAACUUCCCGCACGGCCUCAUCUCGUUCGCCGACGGCCUGUCCACCGAUCCAUUGGGCCACAAGACGGCCUAUCUGAACAACCUUGUGCAGAAUCACGGAAUCUCAAUCACCGCAGCCUACGGCAGCAGCAAGGACAUCAGCGUCUACACAAAUGUGGGCAUGCGAACCGAUCAAAUCUUCAUCGUGGGCAAGGUGGGCAAGAAGCUGCAGUCCAACGCCACCGUGCUGAGCGACGGCUAUGCCGCCCACCUGGCCGGAUUGCAGGCGGUGGGCGGUUCGCGGCCGGCGAAGGGCAAUGCCCGCAUGGUCAUCCCCCGUGGAUGCUUCAAUCUUCCCGGCCAGACGGCCAAUCCGCGGCGCAGAAGGCUGCAUGAACAAGCAACGAAUGAAAAUUGAAUUGCAACUUAAACAAACAACAAAUAAAUUGUUUAGAGCAAUUAAACAACAAUAAAAGCAUCUUGUAAACAGAUAGAAACAAAAAAAAAUCAAAACAAUACAGACAAUUGGUGUUAGUUUUAGCGUUUUAGAAUAUGCCUUAUACUCCCCACAGAUUUUUUGAGUUCUUUUUGUUGAGUAUUUUAAAGCAUACCUAGCUGAGCAUUUUAUUGAUUGAUUGGUGUUGUGACGAAAAAAAAAAACAAAGUUUAUGAAAACCAAUGAAAAUACCACCAAUAUUGGAGGUGAGGAAAAGUCGAUGAGUAUCGAUGUUACAAAUGCCUCAGCCUCCAAAUCCAUCGUAGAGCCACAAAAUUCAACUCUUAUUCAACUUUAACUCUAUCUCUCUUUUUCCAAAAACCAAAAUUUGCUUGAAAAAAAAACUAUUUAAAACCAAACACAACACCCACACACACACCUCACACGCACACACUGCCAUCGACCUUGAUAUCGAUAAACAGCAACGAGACAGGACUAUCAUCACCCAUACGCAGUGGUUACCUGAAGCGCAAGACCUACCUGAGCCACCAUUAGAGCAACAGAGAUGCAGCUAUAUAGAUUGAUCCAUCAUCAGUCAACAAAAAAAACUCAAAUACCCCGAACCCAACUAGUAAUCCCUUCGAAAUAGAAUGAAAUAUAUAGCCAAUGGACAAAAACACCGAUGCCUCCAUAUGCCACAUCUGUGUAUAUACCAUAUAAUUAUAUAUUUAUAUGCGCGAUAUAUUGAAAGUUCAGUGGUGUAAUAUAUAUAUUUAAACAAAAAACAAAAUUUGCAAAUGAGAACAAAACAAUUGUACAACAUUUAACCAAAGUCAAAUGUGUCACGCGGUACCUGGAAAGAAAGACUGUUUCCUCCUGUUGUUUGAUGGUUUUUCAAACCACUUAAAGCAUCAACAAAACAUUGAAAACUACACGAAACAAAAGCCGAUCGUCAAGCCAUAUACUAAAUACAAUUAUGAAAGAUAUAUACAUACAAGGAUAUAUUCAAAAUAUAGAACCGUUUAACAUAUGCAAGCGAACAAAGUUCAACAAACCAAGUGCAGUGCAACAACUGAAGAACAAACUAAUGAAACCGAAGAUCUCCCGAUGAAUAAAGAUGAAAAUUUAAGACAAGGACAAGGCGAGGAAAGCGGGGAAAGCGUUUCAAAAUCAAAUGGCAAAUUUAAUGCAUUUCUUGACAAACAACAACCACUACAAACUCUUACGAAUAGUAUAAAUUAACGGCUUCCGUAAACCAACAAAAUAUAUAUAAAUAUAUGUGCGUGCGUGUAAAAUUGACGAAAAGAAAAGAAACAUGAAACUAAAAUCGUCAUAAAUAUGAAUACAAAUACAAUCUCUUACCUGGCCCCAGAAAUUGAAAAUCUCCAUAAUUGUGAUAGUCUUUCGCUACCAAAAGUUAAUUUAAAAAAAAGAAAACAGUAAAAUAUAUAUAUAUAUAUAUAUUUAUCUCUACUAAAAUUGUUAUUUGGAAAAAAAAAACGUUGAGGGAAGUUCAAGUUACAAGUAUAGAAACUAUUGGAUAUUGUGUAAACGUAAAACCCGAUUUUGUGAUACCAAAACUAAAAACCGAAACCAAAGUUGAGUUCGAGAUGAGAUCAAGCCGAAAACUCCUCGUGUUAGAAACCUAAACAAACAACUCAAGGCGACCUGAAGCUGUAACGGGCAUAGAAUGUGACCCAUAUAGUAUAGUAUAUAUACUACUACCACUAUUUCUGCAUAACCCAGUUAUGUGCUGUCCACACAAGUUAACUAAAAAGUCUCACACAACUUGUAAACACAAGAAAUCGCAGAUAUAAACCAGAUAACAAAGAAUUGAAGGUACUAAAGGGACCUUAAAAGAGCGGUAUAUAUUCGAAUUCUGUUCGAUCUGAUUAGGAUAACCUAAGCCAAAGUUGGUUAACUAUCGAGUAGUUGAGUUACGAGAGUAAGAUACUUCCUAAACUGAAAUAUAAAUGCAAAUUGAAGAGUUUAAAAGAAUAGUUGUAAAGAGAACAGAGUAAUUGUGUGUAAGGAUACAUAGACCUAGACUAUAUAUACUGUAUAUUUAUCUAGCGCAACUACAUUAAGGACUUUUGAAGCUUACUAACUGCAAAAGUGUUCCGAUCAUAGUAUUGUCCGGCUCUACGUUCCUCUCUUCUCCAUUUAAGUCGACUUUCAAACUCUCCAUUAUUUUUGUGUAGCGAGUAUUAAACUAAAAACUGAUGGAAGAUCUACUAGAUUGUAAAAUGAAUCUCUACCCAUGACGAGUUUAUCCUAUGUAAGUACGUAGAAAGUUGGUUCAAGCAUGAGGUAUAAAAGUUAAAGGCAAGUCCUAGUGAAUAACACACCAGAUACUCAUAGAGUCGAAGGGUUGAUGUCUGUCUAAUUAGCUGGUAAAUUAAUGGCAUUUCGGCCAUAACUUUUCUAUAAGUUCUUCUCUUUUAUGCCGAUUUCCUAUUCAAGCGAUAGAUUUAUUCGUACCUGAAUAACAUUCUCAAACUUAGAUCAAAAUGUUAAACAGUUCUAAUAUAGCAAAUUGCAGCUAAUAUUAUUAUUUAAAAAUUGAAAAUUUUCUUUUGUUUUUUGCCUAAUAUAUUCGUUAUUUUUUUUUUGCAAAUAAGAGUGCACACAUGAAUUUUACAUGUUUUAACUCCAACUCUAUUAAACACAUUUAUAAAUAUCUCUCUGCCUUGAAGACUUCUUUUAAUUGUGGGUUACACUUUUAAAAUUUUAUCGGUGAUUUGUGCCGAACGUAUUAUUUUUAUAUAGUUGCAAUUUGUAUAAUUCGACUUCUAACAUCCCUAUUUUUCACCAGAAUAAGAACUCCCUAAGCCAAUAAAGCGUUUAGCAAAAUUGUAUUGAUAUUUUGAGAACCCACCAUUUAGAUGAUAAGCUAAAGCUCCCCAACACCGGAUGAUGAUGACUAAUGCCGAGGGUAUAAUCAAAGAACAAAAACCAAAAACCAAAAACAAUGGAAUGGUUUAAUAUACUACAUGCAAUUGUUACGUACAUAAGUAAAUAUAUGUCCGUAUGGUUAUGUAUUUUAAUUAUUAAGUGCAAAAGUCCAGGAAUAACAAAUACGAAUUCAGAUUGUAAACAAUUAUAAAAAGAACGAGGCGAACAAAAUAUGAAAUUAUUUAUUGACAACAAAAUCUACAAGCAAAAAAAGAACAAAAAACGCGGAGCAAGCCAAAUGCAAUCUAUUUACAAAAAUCCUACAUAAAUAAAGCGAAGCAAGAAUGACAAACCAAAAAAUAUAAAAUAGCUGUCCCGAUAUAAAUUAAUAUAUAUAUACAUACACAUAUAAUAUAUACCUACCCAAAAACCAGAGAUUUUUAAGCCAAUGAUUGAAAUUGGACUAUGACAAAUAACAAAAAUAAAAAAAAAUUGACAUAUGGCAGUAACAAAAUAUUUUUCGAUGUAAGCUGUUUGUUAAAAAAUGAUCGAGUUUCAGCGAAUGAUAUGGCUAAACCAGUUAAUAAUUUCACAGAAAACAAAGCGGUUCAUGAAAAGAUAAAAAAAAAACAAAUGUUCUAUUUGAUGUUGCAAAUGAGAAAAAUAAAUAAAACAUGCUAUGUAAAAAAA